Molecule: ribosomal RNA, 497 nt
Filed under: uncultured bacterium
Lineage: Bacteria
Description: partial 16S ribosomal RNA
Rfam family: Bacterial small subunit ribosomal RNA
Source: RNAcentral
GAUGAACGCUGGCGGCGUGCCUAAUACAUGCAAGUCGAGCGAACAGAUAAGGAGCUUGCUCCUUUGACGUUAGCGGCGGACGGGUGAGUAACACGUGGGUAACCUACCUAUAAGACUGGAAUAACUCCGGGAAACCGGGGCUAAUGCCGGAUAACAUUUAGAACCGCAUGGUUCUAAAGUGAAAGAUGGUUUUGCUAUCACUUAUAGAUGGACCCGCGCCGAAUUAGCUAGUUGGUAAGGUAACGGCUUACCAAGGCAACGAUACGUAGCCGACCUGAGAGGGUGAUCGGCCACACUGGAACUGAGACACGGUCCAGACUCCUACGGGAGGCAGCAGUAGGGAAUCUUCCGCAAUGGGCGAAAGCCUGACGGAGCAACGCCGCGUGAGUGAUGAAGGUCUUCGGAUCGUAAAACUCUGUUAUUAGGGAAGAACAAAUGUGUAAGUAACUGUGCACGUCUUGACGGUACCUAAUCAGAAAGCCACGGCUAACUACGUG